CGAGAAAAAGACCAAAGAAAAGGAAGAUGCAAUACCACAAAUGACCACUAAAUGUCAAGAAAUCUCCACACUGCAUGAAGCCAAUUAAAAAGGCUGUCUUCUAUUGGCAAAUUCUCUGGUCCUUGAAGGCUUUUUGAACCAUUUCUGACCAAUAAGGAUACAUAUCCCAUGCCACAGGACCCGCCUACACAAGAUGAGGACCAGCACCACCACCACAAGAGUCCCAGAGAACAUAGUCCAACCUACAACAUGUACAACAGUUAUUCACUACAAAGAAUCGUAAUACUCAUUCAGUCGCAGUAUGCAUCAAACAAUGUAGGUUGUGUGAUGUGUCAUCUGAUCAAUCCUAAAGGCCAGGCGAAAAGACAGGAGCCUUCCCAGAUGAGCAGAGGCUGUCUCAGCUGCAUGAGACGUCCAA
Molecule: long non-coding RNA, 418 nt
Organism: Anarrhichthys ocellatus (wolf-eel)
Lineage: Eukaryota; Metazoa; Chordata; Actinopteri; Perciformes; Anarhichadidae
Exons: 3
Source: RefSeq, a predicted model, not a curated record